CUCGUAGGCGGUUCGUCGCGUCCGGUGUGAAAGUCCAUCGCUUAACGGUGGAUCCGCGCCGGGUACGGGCGGGCUUGAGUGCGGUAGGGGAGACUGGAAUUCCCGGUGUAACGGUGGAAUGUGUAGAUAUCGGGAAGAACACCAAUGGCGAAGGCAGGUCUCUGGGCCGUUACUGACGCUGAGGAGCGAAAGCAUGGGUAGCGAACA
RNAcentral lists this ribosomal RNA (207 nucleotides) under uncultured bacterium. RNAcentral's name for it is "partial 16S ribosomal RNA". It matches the Rfam family "Bacterial small subunit ribosomal RNA", at positions 568 to 774 of the family's 1533-position model. The record is from RNAcentral.